UAGGGAAUUUUCCACAAUGGACGAAAGUCUGAUGGAGCAACGCCGCGUGCAGGAGGAAGGCCCUCGGGUCGUAAACUGCUUUUAUAUGUGACGAAUAUGACGGUAGCAUAUGAAUAAGGAUCGGCUAACUCCGUGCCAGCAGCCGCGGUCAUACGGAGGAUCCAAGCGUUAUCCGGAAUUACUGGGCGUAAAGAGUUGCGUAGGUGGCAAAGUAAGCGAAGCAUGAAAUCUUGAGGCUCAACCUUGAGACUAUGCUUUGAACUACUUAGCUUGAGUAUGGGAGAGGUAGAUGGAAUUUCUAGUGUAGGAGUGAAAUCCGUAGAUAUUAGAAGGAACACCGAUGGCGUAAGCAGUCUACUGGCCCAUUACUGACACUAAGGCACGAAAGCGUGGGGAGCGAACGGGAUUAGAUACCCCCGUAGUCC
RNAcentral lists this ribosomal RNA (425 nucleotides) under uncultured bacterium. RNAcentral's name for it is "bacterial SSU rRNA". It matches the Rfam family "Bacterial small subunit ribosomal RNA", at positions 355 to 796 of the family's 1533-position model. The record is from RNAcentral.